GUCGCUACCGUCGGUCCCGCUCUACUGCCAUCAUCACAGGCAUCGUCGGGCGCGGGAAAACGCGGGCGGCUCGUGCACGAAACGAACAAAACCGGGCAGCACGGGAGCUGAUGGUCUCUCUCUUGACUGGUCUGGUCCAUCGUCAUGUCUGCCAGGGAUUACGACUUUCAUUAAAAUCCAGUUGCUGGACCUCUCUGUGUCGUCGUUUCGGGGGAAGGAAUGCAUCAACUGGUGGCAGCGGUGCACGGCGGACCUCAUGUGCUUCGAGUAUGUAAAGUGUUCACAACCCCAACUACAUUUGGAGGCUUCAUACAUGAAUUCCCUUCUGGUCAUCGAACAAACGUCAUCGAUUGGCCACUGUCCAAGCCGCCACCUUCAGGCCCUGGACCUUACUGCGCCAUUGGAUAAAACAUCGCCACCAUCAAGCCACUCCAGAGUCACGGCAGCAAGCCGUCACAACUCCUUGGCUUCCUCUUCAUCGGCGGGGAAAGUUGUCACGACUGUGUCGCUACCGUCGGUCCCGCUCUACUGCCAUCAUCACAGGCAUCGUCGGGCGCGGGAAAACGCGGGCGGCUCGUGCACGAAACGAACAAAACCGGGCAGCACGGGAGCUGAUGGUCUCUCUCUUGACUGGUCUGGUCCAUCGUCAUGUCUGCCAGGGAUUACGACUUUCAUUAAAAUCCAGUUGCUGGA
Long non-coding RNA from Ornithodoros turicata, 693 nucleotides. RefSeq lists it as uncharacterized. Lineage: Eukaryota; Metazoa; Arthropoda; Arachnida; Ixodida; Argasidae. The record is from RefSeq and is a predicted model, not a curated record. The transcript is spliced from 2 exons.